RNAcentral lists this ribosomal RNA (459 nucleotides) under uncultured bacterium. RNAcentral's name for it is "partial 16S ribosomal RNA". It matches the Rfam family "Bacterial small subunit ribosomal RNA", at positions 338 to 795 of the family's 1533-position model. The record is from RNAcentral.
CCUACGGGUGGCAGCAGUGAGGAAUAUUGGUCAAUGGGCGAGAGCCUGAACCAGCCAAGUCGCGUGAGGGAAUACGGUCCUAUGGAUUGUAAACCUCUUUUGUCGGGGAGCAAAAACCGGUACGUUUCCCGCAUCGAGGGUACCCGAAGAAAAAGCAUCGGCUAACGCCGUGCCAGCAGCCGCGGUAAUACGGAGGAUGCGAGCGUUAUCCGGAUUUAUUGGGUUUAAAGGGUGCGCAGGCGGAGUGUUAAGUCAGCGGUAAAAUUGCGGGGCUCAACCCCGUCAAGCCGUUGAAACUGGCGUGCUAGAGUGGGCGAGAAGUAUGCGGAAUGCGUGGUGUAGCGGUGAAAUGCAUAGAUAUCACGCAGAACUCCGAUUGCGAAGGCAGCAUACCGGCGCCCAACUGACGCUCAGGCACGAAAGCGUGGGUAUCGAACAGGAUUAGAUACCCUUGUAGUC